GACGAACGCUGGCGGCGUGCUUAACACAUGCCAGUCGAACGGAAAGGCCCUGCUUUUGUGGCGUGCUCGAGUGGCGCACGGGUGAGUAACACGUGAGUAACCUGCCCUUGACUUUGGGAUAACUUCAGGAAACUGGGGCUAAUACCGGAUAGGAGCUCCUGCUGCAUGGUGGGGGUUGGAAAGUUUCGGCGGUUGGGGAUGGACUCGCGGCUUAUCAGCUUGUUGGUGGGGUAGUGGCUUACCAAGGCUUUGACGGGUAGCCGGCCUGAGAGGGUGACCGGCCACAUUGGGACUGAGAUACGGCCCAGACUCCUACGGGAGGCAGCAGUGGGGAAUAUUGCACAAUGGGCGGAAGCCUGAUGCAGCAACGCCGCGUGCGGGAGGACGGCCUUCGGGUUGUAAACCGCUUUCGCCUGUGACGAAGCGUGAGUGACGGUAAUGGGUAAAGAAGCACCGGCUAACUACGUG
Molecule: ribosomal RNA, 468 nt
Filed under: uncultured bacterium
Lineage: Bacteria
Description: partial 16S ribosomal RNA
Rfam family: Bacterial small subunit ribosomal RNA
Source: RNAcentral